GAAAGGCUGCUGCGUGCAACACAUGUCUGAGUGAAGCAGGAUUCUGAGGGGCCAGCACUUUGUACCCUGGCCGGGCCUUUCCCCUGGCCAUCCUCAAGAGCCCGUCUUCUCAACUUGCCUGGGGAAUUAUCCCCCUUGGCAUUCCCUGGCCUCUCGGGUUCUUGUAGCGAGACCUCUGGGCCCCCCAAGCCUCGGCCCUCACAAUCACAGACCUUUCCUGCUACCUCUAGCCUCCCCAGGAAGGUGUUGCAGCCCAAGCUCCAGCACCAGCAUCCCAAGGAGCUAAAGGCGAGAAAAGCCUGGAGCUUCCCAAAAUCCGGGCUCAUCCCUUUUGAGGAGCGUUGGACUCUGGCUAUCCUUAAAUCCAGCGCCAGAAAACCCAAAUGGCCCAUCCUCCACGAACUGUCCAUGGGAUUUUCAACACUGAAAGGAGCCAUCUCGUCUGACCAUGGAGAAGGUCUUCAAACCAAUUAGUUGUGCGAUGGGUGCGGCGACUUCCAUUCCUCCGUGGAUUCUCCAUGGGACCUCUGCAGCUGAAAGGACCCGUCCAUCCUGAAGAAGGAGAAAGACUUUAGCCUUUGGAAGGAGAGGUCCGCCAUCAUUUGCUACCUUUCUUUACCUGUCUCCCCCAUUUUGUGGUACCCCGGUUGCCGCCCACCGCCCUUCCUCCAUGGAUUGUCCUUGGGACCUCCGGAGCCAAAAGGACGCGGCCCUCCUGAACAAGGAGAAAGACUUUAGCGUAAGCCAUCAAUCUUUUCAUUCCCCUCCUCUUCCGCUUGGGACUUCUCUUGGGGACACCAUUGAGAGCUCAUGGGAAUGAAGUAAUUCCUCCCCCCACAAGGGCACAAAUCCGCAAGCCAGCAGAUGGUCCCAAACCAGGGUACCCGACGGCCCGGCACUGAGGUGCGUGAUGAGUUCUUGGCAGGAAAGGCUGCGUGUGCAACCACGUGUCUGACUGCAUUGCAAGUCUGAGUGGCCGCCCCUUGUAGCCUCCCUGGGCCUCUUCCCCGGGCAAAAUGUGAGGUUUUGAUAUUUUGCCUCUCCUUGGUUCCCCUCCCCAUAACUUUGCAUGGAGAGUCCAGCCGUCAUUUGCCACACUUCCUUUAUUUGUCUGCAUCCAUUUUGUUGUACCAUGGGUGCCGCCCACCACCAUUCCUCCGUGGAUUCUCCUUGGGCUUUCCAGAGCUGAAAGGACCCGUCCCUCCUGAACGAGGAGAAAGGCCUUAGCGUAAGCCGUCAUUCUUGUUAUUCCCCUGCUCUUCCCAUGGUGACUGCCUUCAGGAAAGUGUUACGAACGCAUGGGAAUGAACUAGAUUCUGACCAAAAUGGGGGAAAGUCCCCAAACCCCCAGAUGGUCCUAAGGCAGGGGACCUGGCGGGCUGGCACUGAGGUGCAUGAUGAGUGCCUGGCAGGAAAGGCUGUGGAGUGCAGCCACGUGUCUGACUGUACGUCAGUCUGAGCGGCCGCCCCUUGAACCCUGGCUGGUCCUUUUCCCCGGGCAACAUGUGAGGUUUUGAUAUUUCACCUCUCUUUGG
Molecule: long non-coding RNA, 1535 nt
Organism: Sarcophilus harrisii (Tasmanian devil)
Lineage: Eukaryota; Metazoa; Chordata; Mammalia; Dasyuromorphia; Dasyuridae
Exons: 3
Source: RefSeq, a predicted model, not a curated record